GCCACUCAGACGUAUCAAGAUGAUCUCCCAGGCUCAGCUCCUCUGGCUGCUAGUGCUCUGGAUCCAGGGCUCCAGUGGGCAGAUUGUGCUGACUCAGACUCCGGAAUCCCUGGCAGUUUUGCCAGGAGACAGAGUCACUAUCAACUGCAAAGCCAGUUCCAGCAUCACCAGUGGUAGCACUCACUACUUAGCCUGGUAUCAACAGAAAUCAGGACAAGCUCCGAAGCUACUUAUCUACUACGCUUCCACACGUGCCACUGGGAUCCCAGACCGGUUCACAGGCAGUGGAUCUGGAACCGAUUUCACUCUCACAAUCAGCAACGUUCAAGCUGAAGAUGCUGGAGAUUAUUAUUGUCAGCAAGGCUAUAGCUCACCGUACACUUUCGGCAAAGGGACCCGGGUAGAGAUCAAACGUAGAGAAAAUGCCAAGCCUUCGGUGUUCAUCUUUCCCCCAUCAGUCGACCAGCUGUCUCAAGCAACAGUCACCUUGGUGUGCCUGGUGAAUGGCUUCUACCCUAGUGCCUUGAAUGUGGUCUGGAAAACGGAUGAGACCACCACCACAACUGGUGUCCUCACCAGCACGAAGCAGCAAGAUUCUUCUGACAGCACGUACAGCCUGAGCAGCACCCUGACACUUUCGAAAGAUCAGUACAACUCGCACAACGACUAUAGCUGCGAGGUGACGCACGAAACCGUGCCGGGCUCUCUUGUCAAGAGUUUCAAGAGAUCGGAUUGUACGCAGUAGGGGGAUCCCAGGGAAAGAUCCCUGCCUCCUCUUUGCAGCCUUUCUUAUGCUUUGUUUAUGUAACUAUCAGUCUUUUUUUUUUCCUCCCAAAAUAUGAUGACCGAGAUCUUCCAGGUCUCACCUCCUGCCUUACCCCUUGCUAACGGUACUGGAUAACCAGGCCCUGCCUGAUUUUACCCUGCUGCCUUAUGAGGUUUCCUGCUUUUAUCAUGUUUCAACUUCAAAAAUGAAUAAAUAAAUGAAAUCAAUGAAACAGCA
Gopherus flavomarginatus (Mexican gopher tortoise) is the source of this 1003-nucleotide non-coding RNA. The record is from the annotation of a RefSeq genome assembly. NCBI's taxonomy places the organism in Eukaryota, Metazoa, Chordata, Testudines, Testudinidae.